Molecule: ribosomal RNA, 497 nt
Filed under: uncultured bacterium
Lineage: Bacteria
Description: partial 16S ribosomal RNA
Rfam family: Bacterial small subunit ribosomal RNA
Source: RNAcentral
GAUGAACGCUGGCGGCGUGCCUAAUACAUGCAAGUCGAGCGAACAGACGAGGAGCUUGCUCCUCUGACGUUAGCGGCGGACGGGUGAGUAACACGUGGAUAACCUACCUAUAAGACUGGGAUAACUUCGGGAAACCGGAGCUAAUACCGGAUAAUAUAUUGAACCGCAUGGUUCAAUAGUGAAAGACGGUUUUGCUGUCACUUAUAGAUGGAUCCGCGCCGCAUUAGCUAGUUGGUAAGGUAACGGCUUACCAAGGCAACGAUGCGUAGCCGACCUGAGAGGGUGAUCGGCCACACUGGAACUGAGACACGGUCCAGACUCCUACGGGAGGCAGCAGUAGGGAAUCGUCCGCAAUGGGCGAAAGCCUGACGGAGCAACGCCGCGUGAGUGAUGAAGGUCUUCGGAUCGUAAAACUCUGUUAUUAGUGAAGAACAAAUGUGUAAGUAACUAUGCACGUCUUGACGGUACCUAAUCAGAAAGCAACGGCUAACUACGUG